This 468-nucleotide ribosomal RNA is filed under the name uncultured bacterium. RNAcentral describes it as "partial 16S ribosomal RNA". It matches the Rfam family "Bacterial small subunit ribosomal RNA", at positions 28 to 507 of the family's 1533-position model. The record is from RNAcentral.
GACGAACGCUGGCGGCGUGCUUAACACAUGCAAGUCGAACGGAAAGGCCCUGCUUUUGUGGGUUGCUCGAGUGGCGAACGGGUGAGUAACACGCGUGUAACCUGCACUUGUCUUUGGGAUAACUUCAGGAAACUGGGGCUAAUACCGGAUAGGAGCUCCUGCUGCAUGGUGGGGGUUGGAAAGAUUCGGCGUUUGGGGAUGGACUCGCGGGUUAACAGCUUGUUGGUGGGGUAGUGGGUUACCAAGGUUUUGACGGGUACCAGGCCUGAGCGGGUGACCGGCCAUAUUGGGACUGACGUGCGGCAGAGGUUGCUACUGUAGGGAGCAGGGGGGAAGAUUGCACGAUGAGCGGAGGCCUGAUGCAGAAACGCCGCGGGCGGGAUGACGGCCUUCGUAUUGUAAACCGCAUGUGCCAGUGACGAAGCGUGUGUGGAGGGAAUGGGUAAAGAAGGACCGGCUAACUUCGGG